Molecule: ribosomal RNA, 492 nt
Filed under: uncultured bacterium
Lineage: Bacteria
Description: partial 16S ribosomal RNA
Rfam family: Bacterial small subunit ribosomal RNA
Source: RNAcentral
AGUGAACGCUGGCGGUAGGCCUAACACAUGCAAGUCGAACGGCAGCACAGUAAGAGCUUGCUCUUACGGGUGGCGAGUGGCGGACGGGUGAGGAAUACAUCGGAAUCUACUUUUUCGUGGGGGAUAACGUAGGGAAACUUACGCUAAUACCGCAUACGACCUACGGGUGAAAGCAGGGGAUCUUCGGACCUUGCGCGAUUGAAUGAGCCGAUGUCGGAUUAGCUAGUUGGCGGGGUAAAGGCCCACCAAGGCGACGAUCCGUAGCUGGUCUGAGAGGAUGAUCAGCCACACUGGAACUGAGACACGGUCCAGACUCCUACGGGACGCAGCAGUGGGGAAUAUUGGACAAUGGGCGCAAGCCUGAUCCAGCCAUACCGCGUGUGUGAAGAAGGCCUUCGGGUUGUAAAGCCCUUUUGUUGGGAAAGAAAAGCAGCAGGUUAAUACCCCGCUGUUCUGACGGUACCCAAAGAAUAAGCACCGGCUAACUUCGUG